UAUGACAAACUAAUUAUUUCACACCCUGAAAUUGGAAGAUGAACUAUUAAAUACCAGAAUUUUUUGUUUGACUGUUGCAAGUACGGCUGUAUCAUUAAGAAGUUUACAUUGCAACCUUGUGAUUUCCAGUUCAAAAACAUGCUUUUAGCCAUUAAGAAUAAGCUGUGCCAUGCACUUUGCAGAACUUCUGGGAUCUGUGAGAUCAAUGAGGUUAAUAUUCUUUUCCAUCAACUGAAACUUGACAGCCACAAAAAAAGCCAUGGGAAAGGAAGGAAUUCCAGAGAACCUAUGUUCCAGGGAAGAUGACUUUGGGAUAGGAAUUUGAGACAAGCCUGUAGGGGUGGACAUAAUAUAUGUGAUGAAAGGAAGUGAGAAGCAAGAAUUAGUUGAUUGUCAAGGAACAAAUACUGAAUGAUGGUCUGAAGCAAGAUGGAAGAAAAUGAAGUUUCAAGAAUAAUGUUGACCCCUAUGUCUGAAGAAAAACAUAUCACAAUAAAGAAAACCAAAUGUUAAGUCAUGCAGAUAUUAAAACCAUGUGAUAAUUCAGAGAACCAUGCA
Molecule: long non-coding RNA, 558 nt
Organism: Octopus bimaculoides (California two-spot octopus)
Lineage: Eukaryota; Metazoa; Mollusca; Cephalopoda; Octopoda; Octopodidae
Source: RefSeq, a predicted model, not a curated record